Long non-coding RNA from Helianthus annuus (common sunflower), 1953 nucleotides. RefSeq lists it as uncharacterized. The transcript has 5 exons. NCBI's taxonomy places the organism in Eukaryota, Viridiplantae, Streptophyta, Magnoliopsida, Asterales, Asteraceae. The record is from RefSeq and is a predicted model, not a curated record.
GAGAAGUGAUGGAUAGGGAUGUAAUUUUACAUCAUGUACAACAUUGGAAGCAGCAUAUACAACACUUUAUAAGCAGAGAAAAUAAAAAAGAGUUUGGUAUUUUAAGACGCUACAAGGGGUAGCCUAGGGAUUUCACUCCUACUGUUCCUUCAUUUUCCAUCAUCGAUUGAAAUUGAAUGCGAUCUUUUGGUAUUCGCCCUCCCCAUCUACCUUAUAACCUGAUUUUUAAUUCUUAAAGCUUCUAUCAAUGUCGAUGAAUAUCAUCUUCCCCCAAUCAAAGAUCAUAUGUCCCACUCGGGUUUUUGUUCGAGAUUGCAGGUGCAUAUCUUGAAGAUCUAUACUAGGCACGAGAGCAUUUUUCAUCAGGAUUAAAGUCAUGAAGAAGGAAUGGUUUGAAGGGAAAGAGUGUCUUGAUAUUGGCAGCAAUAAUGGAUUAAUAACAAUUACAAUUGGUAAUCGUUAAUAUACAGGUUUUGGUUAAAUGAAUUAUCAUCAGUUAGUUUUUUUUUUUUUUUACAUGGUUUUGAAUACUGAUGGUUCAUUCAUUAAUGAUGCUGAGCUCGUGUCUGGUGACUGAAGCUACUUUUUCAUUUUGUCAUUGCAUUAUUGUUACACUAUACGGAGUGGGGGGCAUGAAAAGUGGCCGUUGUGCAACACGUGGACGCUACACCAGCACGUGUCUGAAUAGUCGCGUGGUGCAAAAAGCUGGAGGAGUGGGAGGGGGCGUGAAAGGGCGGCGUUAUUUGACGCGUGGCACACACUUUGUCGGUUCUUCACUUUCUUCUUAGAGGUAUUGAUUGAUCAGGCUUUUUAUGUUGUUGGUGAUGACUGAAAUGAUAUGAUUUAAAGUUAAUUGGCCUUAUUAGUUCAGUUUGAUUGCUGUUAGUAAUAAAACCUCCUAUAAGUAAACAAAAAACAUAAUUCUUACCUUUUGAAUUAUCUCACUUGAAUAAAAAUACUUGUAAUUGAUAUGUUGAUAUUGACAUUCUUGUUGCACUCCUGGUGCUCUCUAAUACCUAAGUGGAGUCAUUCUUUUUGAGGAAACUCUCUACCAGAAGACAACUACAGGUAAGCCAAGUAUGGAUGUUAUGAAGGAAGUUGGAAUCUUCUUUGGUAUAAAGGUUGACAAGGGUACAAUCGAACUUGCUGAACCAAUGGUGAGACCACCGCCCCAUGUCUAGAUGGUCUUGCCCAGCGACGUGCUAAAUACUACUCAGCCGGUUCCUGGUUUGCCAAGUGGCAUGCAGUUCUUAAGAUCGGCCCGAAAGAGCCACAAUUGCAUAACAUGGGCAUACCAUGCUGGGUUCAAUAGUGAAGAGGCUGUCAACGUGGCCCCAUGAAUUAGCUACAACACGGGCAAGUUGCAGUUGAGCUUUAUAGCUAUUUCUGGUGCAACGCUCUUAGUAAUCAACUUCUAAGAGGGUUAUAGAGAGAGAAAACCGGGAACCAAAGAGACAGAGAGAGAAAUCGGGUGGGGAUCGAGAGGGAAAAUUGAGAGGUAUGACGAUAGGGAUGGUGAUGCUAACGAGAGGUGGUGGCUAUGGAAUGUGGAGUGGUGAAAAUGCAGCGACGAAAGGCGGUGCUACUUGAGCAGAACAAAAUUAGUUGUCGUUAGUAGCAUUGCUGAUAGCAGCUCUAAGGAAAUUAAUGGUGGUGUGUAGUGUUGAUCAUCGACAUUCGACAUGAUCAUAUCUCAGCUCAACAUCAGAUGGAAAUAGAAUGCCACACAAAUGUUCAACAUAUAUUUAACAGAUGUUACUUUCAUAGAUUCAUUGACGAAUUUGCAAAAGUUUAUCAACAGCUCAAUUAUGUCCAGGUUGGUUUUCUUCACUAAUCAUAUAUGCUCUUGUAUUUCAUUAGUUGUAGUGUUCGGAUGUGUGUUUUUAAGAAGCAUGGAUGUAAUAAAACAGAUCAUUAGUUGUAAUAAACAGUUUGAAGGAGGUGGUGCCUGGA